UAGAUAUAUAAGAAAGAAAUGUUCAUAUUUCUUUCUUUUGAAUUUUUUAUUUGUUUAGUAGUACAUGUUUGUAGUAUAUAUUGUUUACAUUCUUUGUGGGGAGUUGGUACAUGUACAUAACACACCUUAAUUUAUUUUUUUCGUCUUCUUCCUCUUCUACCAUCCCCUCUCCCUCUGUCUCCUGUUCCACUUUCCACUUGAGAAAGAUAUAGCUUCCUACUCCCUGUUAUAUAACUUUUAUUUUAUCUUUAUUUAUAAUUUUCAUAUAAGAGAAACCAUGUGAUAUUUAAGCUCCUGUGUCUGAUUUAUUUCACAUAUAGUCUCAAGGUACAUCCAUUUUCCCACAAAUGGCUCAAGUAUAUCCUUUCUGGCAGAAUAAUAUUUCCAUUGUGUGUUUUCUAGUUUCUGUUUUUUAAGGAACCUCCAUACUGAUUUCUAUAGCGGUUGUACCAGUUUACAUUCCCACCAAAAAUAUUGAAGUGUUUCUUUUUCCCUAAUCCUCACCGGCAUUUGCUGUUAUCUGAUUUCUUGAUGAUGGCCAUUAUUUCUGUGGUAAGGUGAAAUCUCAAUGUUUUAAUUUGCAUUUCUCUAAUGGCCUGCAACACUGAACAAUUUUUCAUGUAUCUAUUGAUCAUUUGUACUUCUGAGAAAUGUCUGUUCAUUUCACUUGCUUAUUUCUUUUAUUUAGGGGAAAUCUAAUAUAUUGAAUUCUUCAUAUAUUCUAGAUACUACUUCUCUGUCAGGAAUAACUGGAAAAAUGUAUCCUAUUCUGUACAUUGCCAUUUCAUUCUGUUGGUUGUUUCUUUUGCUGUACAGAAGCUGUUAAAUUUGAUAUGCCGCAUUUAUUGGUUCUUAAUUUAUUGGUUCUUAUUUCCUCCACUAUGGGGUAGUUAGUUCAUUUUUAGAACAAAACUAAGGGAAACUAUGAACAAUGACAGGCAAGGUUAAGAAAUACUGUGAAAGAUAAGUAAUAAGUAAAAAGCCACUAGAUUUUUCCAUUUAGAAAAUAAGUGUUGAGUCUUCAGUAGAAAGCUGUUGAUAAAAUGUUGGGAGCUAAGAAGAGAAGAAGACAAGAAAGAUUUGGGAGUUGAUGGACAGUGGACCAUGUGUUUGAGGUUUAUUAAAGGAAAUAGUAGUUUAUAAAAUACAGUGAGAAAAAUCAUUGUGUCUUUUCUGAGGAGGAAAUCUGUUUUCCUCUAGAGAGGAAGUUAAUAAAAAGACAAUAAUUGAAAACACAGGUUCAAAAGAGAUGGAGAAGGUUGGAAUAGAUACAUUUAACAUGACUUCUAUAUGAGUAAGGGCUCUUGUUUUGGACAGAAAAGAGAAGGUGACAAAUGAGAGUUUUAGGGAAAGAACAGGGAUUCUGGUGGAGUCUUCAUUAGGAUCUAUCUUCACCUCAAAAUAGAAUGAGAGGGGUCACUCAGCGGAGAGUAUGAGCAAAUGUCAAGUUGAGAAUUUGUGAAAACCUGAGAAUUGUUUAUUGUGUUGAUAAAACAUAUUUAAAAGUUAUUUAGGGGCCAGGAUUUAGCUCAGUGGUUCCGCCACCUGCCUCGCAAGCGCAAGGACCUGAGUUUGAUCCCCAGUAAAAAAAAAAAAAAAAGUGAUUUAGUACUUGUGUUACCUUAUCAUAAAUUAUAACACAGGGAUUGAACCUUGAAAAAUUAAAUUUCUUUGUUCUUAAUAUUCUCAGUUUCAACUACCUGAGAAUAGAUAUAUAAGAAAGAAAUGUUCAUAUUUCUUUCUUUUGAAUUUUUUAUUUGUUUAGUAGUACAUGUUUGUAGUAUAUAUUGUUUACAUUCUUUGUGGGGAGUUGGUACAUGUACAUAACACACCUUAAUUUAUUUUUUUCGUCUUCUUCCUCUUCUACCAUCCCCUCUCCCUCUGUCUCCUGUUCCACUUUCCACUUGAGAAAGAUAUAGCUUCCUACUCCCUGUUAUAUAACUUUUAUUUUAUCUUUAUUUAUAAUUUUCAUAUAAGAGAAACCAUGUGAUAUUUAAGCUCCUGUGUCUGAUUUAUUUCACAUAUAGUCUCAAGGUACAUCCAUUUUCCCACAAAUGGCUCAAGUAUAUCCUUUCUGGCAGAAUAAUAUUUCCAUUGUGUGUUUUCUAGUUUCUGUUUUUUAAGGAACCUCCAUACUGAUUUCUAUAGCGGUUGUACCAGUUUACAUUCCCACCAAAAAUAUUGAAGUGUUUCUUUUUCCCCUAAUCCUCACCGGCAUUUGCUGUUAUCUGAUUUCUUGAUGAUGGCCAUUAUUUCUGUGGUAAGGUGAAAUCUCAAUGUUUUAAUUUGCAUUUCUCUAAUGGCCUGCAACACUGAACAAUUUUUCAUGUAUCUAUUGAUCAUUUGUACUUCUGAGAAAUGUCUGUUCAUUUCACUUGCUUAUUUCUUUUAUUUAGGGGAAAUCUAAUAUAUUGAAUUCUUCAUAUAUUCUAGAUACUACUUCUCUGUCAGGAAUAACUGGAAAAAUGUAUCCUAUUCUGUACAUUGCCAUUUCAUUCUGUUGGUUGUUUCUUUUGCUGUACAGAAGCUGUUAAAUUUGAUAUGCCGCAUUUAUUGGUUCUUAAUUUAUUGGUUCUUAUUUCCUCCACUAUGGGUUUUUUUUUUCCUGCACUAUGGGGGUUCUUUUCAAAAAAUCCUUGCUUAUGCCUAUGAAUUCAAGAAUUUACCCUAGUUAAUUUCCAGCAAAUUGUUUCUGUUUAUUACUUGGCUCUUUAAUUGACUUUGAUUUAAUUUAGUACAUGAUGAGAGAUAUGGUCUAAAUUCAACCUUCUGCACAUGAAUAGCCACUUUUCCCAGCACCAUUUAGUAAAGAGGCUUUCAUCUCAUGUAUAUUUUUGUCACCUUUGCAAAAAUCAAAUAGUUGAGUGUGCUUUGGGUUGUUUCUGUAUCCUGUAUUGUGUUCCAUUGAUGCACAUUUUUUUUUGUAGCCAGCCAUGCUAUUUUUAUUAUUGUAGCUUUAUAAUAAAACUUCAGAUCUGGGAUUAUGAUGUUAUGAUGCCUCCUACUUUACUCUUGUUACCCUACUUUUGGACUCUGGUUCUCUUUUGGCAACUCAUGAAUUUUAAGAUUGUUUUCUCUAGUUCUAUGAAGAAUGCUGUUGGUAUUUCUUGUAAUUGUGUUAAAUCUGUAUAUCAAUUUUGGAAGUAUGCUCAUUUUGUCUAUAUUGCUUCUGACUAUUCAGGAAAAUGGAAUAUCUUUCCAUCUUUGAUCUCCUUUUUCAGAAUACUAGUUUUCAUUGUUGAAGUCUUUUGUUGGCUUAGGUUAUUUCUUAAGUAUUUAAUUUUUCUUAAUACUAUUGUGAAUGGUAGUUUUUAAAUUUUUCUCUCAGUGAGUUCAUUAUUGGUGUAUAGAAACACUUGAUUUUUGUGUAUUGAUUUUGUAUCUUACUACAUUGCUGAAUUUGUUAUUUCUAGGAGUCUAUUGGUGUAUUUUGAGGGGGGUCUUCUACUUAGAGAAUGAUUAUAUUUCUACAAGGAUAGUGAUGUAGCAGAAGGUAAUGACCUUGCGGUAUUAGAAAAAUCAUCAUUAAAAAGGAUCCCUGAGAAUAAUAAAACAAAGUUAAGAGAAUUAAGAAUAUACACUGACUAUCAGGGUGAUAGAAAAUGAGUUUAUUGAGUAGUAAGCAAUUCUUUGUUCCCUGUCAAAAUUUUUUAAGACUGAUGUUCAGAGAGUGGUUCACCAAUGUCAAAUAUUGUACUUUUGAGGUUCAAAUACAUAAUUAUAUUCACACAACUAUAGGAUACCCUUUAGCUCCACAUAUGUUGAUCUCUUUUUCUAUAGUUAAGUCAGCCUGUGGUAUCUGUAGCUUGGGGGUGGCAGUGUUCUUGACCACAUUUUUGACAACAUUAUUCAGUGUAAUUUAGUUUUGAGUUUUCUCCUAUCAAACUGAUUUCCAGAAUGAGGGAGGGAAAAAGAGAGGGGAAGAGAAGAAGAAGAAGAGGAAGAAAAAAGAAGAAGGAGGAGGAGGAAGAAGAAAGAAAAAAGAAAAGAAAGAAAAAGGAAGGAAGGAAGAAAAAAUAGAAGGAAAGGAAGGAAGAGAGGAGAGAAGGAGAAGAGAAAAGAAGAAAAAACUAGUUAGAGAUGAGGAUGAGGAAGGUAUCAUGAUUAAGGAGGAAAAAAUUAAAAGGGUGGUAAAGGAAUUGAAAAUGAUGAAGAUAUGUUAUAUGCAUGCACUAAUUCACCAAAAUGAACAAUCAUUAUUCUAUACUGCAAACAUAGUCUAAAACAUAAAGUAAAAUCAAAGUCUAAUAGGUCAGUGCCUUUACAAGUAGUUUUCCUUUUACAUAAUUAUUUCCAUAUGGAAAGGUGGCUCUUGCUAAACCACGAACUGGUUAUAAGUCAGUCAUACCCAAUCAUUUUAUGAAUUUAGUAUGGCUGUACAUAGAUUCUACAAAACAAACUGACUCUUCUUUUGGAACCACCUGGUAAAAAACUGUUAGAUUAAAAGAAGAAAUUUAACUUGGAUUAACUUUUGAGUUAAGAAAUGGAGAAAUUAGUUUUUUAAAUAUAAAAUCAUAAUCCUAAACUGGAUAUUGACCAAAUAAAUUUGUGUAUAACUGAAUUCAAUAUUAAAAUUAAUAACUAAAACCUUAAUAUGUCCAAGAAAGGUAUAAAGUCGCAAUCAACCUAAGAGUUGAGUAUAAUUGCUGAAAUUAUUAUAAUAGUAAUUUUUAUUUACUGUACUCAGUUUCCAGAAUAGGAUCUUGACUUAUGGAUAGAGAAUUCUAUCCAUGGUACAAUGAGGUGACAAUGGAAAAAGAAAGAAUGAGCAUUUUGAGGCAGCAGACCCAGAAACUUGGUAAAAAGAAGGCCUGGCUUACAUGAAGGGAAACCAAGAAACGUAUAUGUGAAUAUGUACGUGCAGCAUAUCUACUUAAGUACAGCUCUAACUUUGGUGCUCCACAGCAGUUCACAGGUACUCAAAUGUUUGGCUAAAAAGUGCUUUGCAUGUGACAAUUGUGAGUUGUGUGUUAAAUCAAGCUCCAAGAAAAGAGUACUUGCUCUGUGGUGCUUUCAAUUCCCAAAGAGUAUAUUUAGAUGGCACAGCUGGUGAACUGGUAAAGGCACCUCAGGAAGGCAGUUGUUUGGCUGCUGUGAUGGGACCAGUAGUAUUUAAAUUUUUACAUAUUCCUCCCAUUUAAUUUCCACAUUUCCCUACUUUCAAAACUUCUCUUUGUUUUGCUCAUCCUGUUUAUACUUCUGUUAAUUCCUUUGCAGACCUCAGAUUUUAGGCCCUCCUUCUGGGCUAAAACUCUUCUUCCUCAAAGCCCAUUUUAAAUUUCCUUAAAGGAGGUAAGAUAGGAAAAACAUCUAGGACAUUAAAUAUAUAUUAAAGUUUUAAUACACUGGCUGAAAUGAAUUUUAUCUUGAUUCCCAGAUUCCCUGUUCCCUGAAUUCUUAGCAUGUGGUGGCAUUUCCCAGGGACUGUUUUUAAAGUUGUUCAUUGUUAUGAACAUUUCACCUAUAUUUUAUUUCCUAAUUAUACUAUUAUACAAUCUUAAAGCUCAAUUCUUUAUAUUCCAUGCUUGCUUGCUUUUUUAAAAAAAAAUACAAUGUAGUGUAUAGCAGAGUUAUACAUAGAAUAUUUUGUUAAUUUUUGCAUGAACAAAUAAUCUUUCCUAUAAAAGUAUUUUACCUAAUGUAUAUAAUUAUCCCUCAAUAUUUUGUCUUUCAGUUUUAUAUAAGGUUCAUGUAAUUCAGUUCACUGACUCCAACAUACUGAAAUUAUAAUGUAGUUUUUGUUACGUUGUUGCUUAAAGUAGGAGAGCAGAUCAGAUUUAGCUAUUUUAUUGUGCAGUUUUGGAAACAAGACUGUCAGAUGACUUUAACUUACUGAAGACUAUGAAGGAAAGCAAUAGUUACAGGCAAGGCAAAAGCCACAUAAAUCUUUAGCAGGGCUGACUUCUACCCUAAAAUGUGUUGCCUGACUUUCCUUCCCUUGACUGUAGAAAUUGGGUUUGUCUAGAUUUUCUACAAUACAAGUUUGAGGCAUAGGAAUAAUUUCAUUACUUCUGAAUCUAAGUCACUUUCACACUUAAUUCUUCAUAAAAGUGUUUUCCGGGGUAUGACAAGAAUUAAAAUUUCUUAUGUUUGGACUCUUACAGUAAAGAGGUGGAAAAUAGAAUUAACUGCAACGAAAUGGUGUGUUAUGCAUCACUUUAGAAAUUAUUCUCUUUUUUUCUUUUAUUGAGCUACAGUUUUUCCUCAUGACUGACCUUCAGAUGAUUCUGAAUAUUACUUUCUGUCACAGAGCUUAGUAGACCAGUGUCUGGCCUUCCUAGGUUAUGAAACUACAAAUUGACAUUCCUAAGGCUUAUGGAUGAGGUCAUGAAGGUCUUUUAAUGGAGACUUACAAAUUGAAUAGUCAAAAUUUGCUAUCUGAAAGUUAGCAUCCACCUAUAAUCAAAGUCCAUUUGUGCUCUGGCCUUGAUAAUUUUAGUGAUGGCUUAUUAUGAGCUGAUUUUAGCAGGUAUCUGUAUUCCAUAAAAGGCAAUACUAUUAGAAAAUUGAGCAACAUAAGAAAUAUAUAGUCAUCAACUUUUCAUGAAGUUCCUUGAAAUAUAUCAAGUCAGCUGUUCAAGAAAUGUUAUAUUUUAAUGGCAUACUGAGAGACUGUGUCAACUAUUACAACACCACUAUCAUGUUCUUGCACAAAAUGACAAUGAACAGAAAGUAUAUCAGAUGGUACUUUCUCUUUAUAGUUAGAAAUCGAUUUUAAGAGACAAUGGAGCAAGUGGUUAUAAGUAUAAAAUUUAGAGGAGGGUAAGUGGGAAUAUUUCAAAUGAUUAUUUUUCUGACCCAGGAUAUUAUUUGAUCACAAAAUGGGGUAGAAUAUAGAUUCACCAAAGGAACAAUCAGUUAUCGACUAAAUCAGGUGAAAUAGCAUAAAGACACAAUUAUAGGCAUGAACAUUGCAUGCCAGGGGUCAGAGAGACAUUCAGACACUCAGAGGCAGAGGAGAACACAUGUCGUGCGAUUGGGGGGGUGAGGAUAAAGACAUAGAUUUAUGAAAGACUUCUCAGAACUGUAUAGUGAGCCCCAUGAAGAAUAAAUAUUGUUUAUGUUUCUAAGCAAUGGAAUUAGAAAAUGACAUCAUUCUUCUGCAAAGAUUAAUCAUAUCUGUGUCCUAAAAUGAUUGAAAGGGGAUAGAGGUGAGAAUUGGAAUUAAUAUUCACAGAUUUCAACUGAACUAAUGCUGAGAAAGAAAAGAGGAUGGAGAGGAAAGUAUAAAUAUGAGACAUUUUGAAAGAAGGCGCAGUCGAGCCUUACCAUAUAGCUAAAGAAAAUGGAAGUGAAAACACAGUCAGCAAUAUGCCAGCCUUACAAAUGGCUAAAUAUCUCUAAUGAGUAAUAAAAUGCUCACCAUGUUUUCUUAGCUCUGCCACCUUGAUGUUCAAUGAAUUUAUUCAUUGAAAGGCAAUGUGUCACUGCCAAGCUAGUGUGUAGGAGGCCACCAGGUAACAGGGAAGUGAUCUUUCCUGACACUGCUCUCACACACAGGAGCAUACACCUAUUACACACACAGGGUCCCCUGGGUGGCUGCAAAACAGGGAUUGAUGUGUUUUCAUUAUGUUGGGAAGAAUUUCAGUUUCCCAAAACUUAUUCUGUUAUUCAUUUACAAAAUCCCUUCUUUCAGUUUCAUGUCAUAUUUCAUCUCUCCUAACAGCUGCCAUUCUCCAAUCUUCUAUUAGACUCAGAAAAGUCUGAAGCAUUGAUACCUAAAUCAUUGGUUCCUCUGUAUGCCAUGAUCAGACAAAAGGAACUAGGGUCUGCCUCCGAAAUCUGAAAUCUAGUGUUUUGUAAGACCACAAUCUCUAAUUCUCUUCAUCUCCCUUACACCUGUGGUCCUCUUUGAUAAUGUCUCAGUAACCACCAGCCAUUUCUUCCUUCAAUAAAAGCACUUCAUAAACAACUGAUGCCCUUCAUUUUCUUGCAAAUCUCCUCUCAUGUCAACAAAGCCAGGCUACAAUCCUGAAUAUAUGCCACAAUCUACCACCUCCCUUUACCUAUUUGGGAUAUACUCUGAGAACAGCCAUGAUUGUUAACCUUAGUUCCUCAAAUCUACUUUCAGUAUGUCCACUCGAUGUCUGAAAACUAAUGUCAGUCUGCCACUUCCUUAAAUAUCUAUUAAUGAUUGCUGUGACUCCUGUGUAUAUUCGUGUUUCUUUUCACUGAAACAUGAAGGGUUAAAUCUAAUCCCUUACUUAACUAGAAAGCAGCUCUUACACUCCACCUUCUUCCAAUUUCCUCUAACAUUUUUUACUUCUCUUUUCUUCACCAGUGCCCCUCUGCUCUACCCUUGUGCAAUAUGCAAUUCUUCUUGAAUAACAGUGUCUAGAAGUUUUCCAGAUUGAGUAUUGUAAUCUGAGAAUUACAGAAAGAUUUAGAACUUGAAAACUUUGCUCCCUUGUUUAAGAAAGAAAGCAUAUGUAAAAACUCAAAACCAACCAAACAGAAAAUAAGUAAGGCUGUACUCAUUAAAAACACUUUCCUGGAAAGAGGACAGCAGAGUACUACCCUGGAAAAGCAAGGUAAUAAGUAUAUCUUACAUAUUCCAGUAUUUCCUCAUUUGCUUAAUACAAAUGAAUUCCAUUGUCACCAAAAAUGUUUAAAUUAUUAAAUCACAUUUUUAUGUAAGACAAGCUAUCCUAAAAAAGGAACCCAAAGGACAUAGAAAGUUCCAAAUAUAGAAUGUUCAUUAUCAUGCAAAAGUCAGUGUCUUUUGCCACCUAGCAUUUGCUUUGCCCCUCAUCCUCAUGAUACCCAGCCCAGUUUUCACAAGUGUUCAUUCUUUCAAAGUCCUCUCUCCCUCUGUGACCUCCAGGGUGAGCGUGAUUGUCUUAAGGAAUUCCCAUUCCAUUUAGCUCAGUUCAAUGCCCCAAACCUGAGCCAGUCAGUGAGUAGCAUUCUAUGGGCCCCAGAACUCAAGUACCAGGAUAACUGUAAUUCAUAAAAAUGAAAUUCCAGGCCGCGAGUCGCGCGGAACACACCAAAUCAGCCCGCUGCAGACAGGCAGGUCUGCGGACACCCUACCGAGGUCUCAAGUCGUGUGGAACAUGCCGAAUGAGCCCAUGCCCCGGCAACAAUCCACUGGACACCACCACCACCACCACCACCCCCAAACAGCUCCUCUGGUCUAUCCUUCUUCCCAUCUGUCCCUCCCUCCCCAACUCUUUCUAACUCCCUAUCCCAGAGGGUAAAGUUGUUAUAUUGAAGAGUUUUUUCACUAUAUGUUGGGUUGGUCCUCAAUCUUGAUUUAAUUCACACAGCUAAAGGUGAUAGAUUAAAAACUACCACAAAAUGUCAUUUUUGAAGAUGUACUUGAUGCAGUGGUGUUGCUGAUUGUAUCACUUGGCCUAAGGUGUUGUGAUUGAUCUAGUCAAUGAACCUUCCUAGUAUAAGGAAAAUGAGAUAGCCUUAGAGUCAUUAGAGACUCAAAACUUAAAGACCAGCUAUAUCUGGAAGACACCUCUGAGAAGCAAUCAGUCCAUAAGGGUUCUAAUUAUGAGCAACAAAGAUACCUACAAUAAGCAAUUUCAAACUAUCAACCCAGGAGUUAAACCAAGGACAGUGCCAAAAACAAAAAUGAGAAGACAUUUAAGCAAGGCACAAACUCAGACUUCCACCCCACCAAGGAUAAAUCCUGGGGGAAAUGAGAUGGAAAUGUCCCAUAACCAACCACCUGGACACCCUGAACUAAUAGCACAGGAAGUAACAAAACAGAUGAAUGAGGCUCUAGAAAAAUUCCAAGCAGAAAUAAUCUCCCAGAUAUCUACAGAGAUGGUGAGCAGAGUGAAAGACAUGAUUAGAGGAUCUAGAACAGAAACAGAUAAAAAAAUAGAUGAGCUCAGAAACAUGCUGGAAGCCAUGAAUGCCCAGCAUAAGAAAGAAAUGGAAACUAUGAUCGCCCAACAUAAGAAAGAAAUGGAAUCCAUGAAACAGAUUCAAACAGAUAUUCAGGAGAUCAAAAACUCCAUUGAAAGUAUCCACAGCAGAUUAAGGGAAUCUGAAGAUAGAAUAUCAGAUAUAGAAGACAGGAUUGUGGUUAGAGACCAUGAAAAUAGAGAUUUCUUAAAAAUAGUAAGGGACCACGAGAAAUCAAUCCAACAACUGCUAGACGAUGCAAAGAAGAAUAACAUAAGACUGAUAGGAGGAGUCCAUGAAAAAACAGGAGAAAGCACAAUUGACAUUAAAAAAAACCUGUUCACAGAGUAAUAGUGGAAAACUUCCCAGACAGAGGUAGAGAAUUGGACAUACAGAUAAGUGAAGCAUAUAGAACUCCAACUAGCCAUGAUCAAAAAAAAUCUACAUCUAGACAUAUAAUAGUCAAGAUCCCAGAAACCCAACAGAAAAACAAAAUCCUACAGGCAGAGAAAAGAAACGAAUCACCUAUAAAGGAAAGCCCAUCAGAAUCACGGCAGACUUCUCAACACAAACCCUCUAAUCAAAGAGAGCCUGGAGUGAAGUAUUUCAAGCCCUAAAAGAAAAUAACUUCCAACCUAGACUGUUGUAUCCUGCAAAAUUAUCUUUCAAAAUCGAUGGGGAAAUUAGAUACUUCCAUGCCAAAGAACACCUGAGAAAUUUCAUGAACACCAAACCGACACUACAAGCAAUUCUAAACAAUAUCCUAGAAACAAGUAAUGAAGGCCACAACUCCAUGAGGCCCAACAGAGGGAAGCCACCAGGCAAGAUAAGACACUAAAGGGAAAGGGGGGAAAAAAUAAGAAAUAAAAGAGCCAACAAAAAUGAAAUUCCAGGGAGUUUUUCUGGGGAUAAUGGAAAUGAGGUUUGGGGGUUUUAUAAGAAAGAAUUAAUGAAAAUGAAGUUUCCUGCUCUGCCCCACAUCUUGAUUUGUGGACAGAGAAAGUUUGGAAGUACUCCAGGCAUUUUGCAACCAUAACAGAAGGCAGUCCUGGGACUGGAAUCCCUGGAAGGGCACAGCUAAGGAAUCACAGCAAAAUAAAGCCAACACCACUAUAUUGGGAGAAGGAAAGUUUUCCUACCUCUUCAUAUCCAGCUACGUCCAACAAAUACAUGUCUAUCUGAUUGGAGUUAUGUAUGAUCUUUUCUUCUGUUGUAUAUACAAUAAAAUAUCUUGAGACAUAUAACUUUAAUUAGAUGUUAUUGAGAACAACCUAAAUGAUCAGGCAAAAAUUAAUAGAAAACAAAUCUUCUAAUAUUUGAAGAAGUAUUUUGCAUAUUUUAGGCAUUAUAACCAUGAGGACUUUUUGUUAGUCUUUAAGAUUACAAAUAAUUUGUUUUGCUUUUUAUUACUUCAGUUAUUAGUCAGCAUAUGGCAAUCCUAUAUAAGUAUCUUAUACUCUGUUGUUAAUGUUGUUAGGUCUCAAUAUUCUGACAAAAUUAGGAAUAAGGUAUUCCACAAAAUAGACUACUUGGAUUAUUGAUUCUGUAAAAAAAAUAAUAGCUAAGUUUUUCUGAGAAUACUUUUCUAGUGUAUAAAAUACUUCUUGCCUUAUUGAAGCAUGGUACAUAAUUUAAUGUUUUACUGAUGACUCAAGGUCAUCAUUGUGCAUACCAAAUGUACAGUGUAUGAUAAAGUAAUUAUUUGAGGCGACAUUUGCCUCAAGUGACUACACCUUUUUAAUUCUUAGGUCAGUUUGUUCUAUUUACUUUUUACAAUUCUUCUGUAUAUUUUAUGGUUCCUCUGCCUUGCCCCUUUCUGUCAAACUGUCAGUUGUCAUUUCUUGCUGCUCUCUGAUGGCCCACCAAUAUGGUCAUGCCCUUCCUAAUUUUCUGCUUCUAAAUUAUUCUAGAUUAGAAAGUCAAAUAUUCCUGCUUUUUAGAACUGUAUCUAAAAAAGAAGUCAAGAGUUUUUAGUAGGGGUAUGUGUGUCAUAUACCAAGUUCUGAAACAAGGAUAUUGAGUUAUUUCAUUUGAGAUACCUAAAUAUUUAAGACAGGUACAGUCUUAGUGUUUGUUAAUUGAAAAAUAAAAAGAUCACUUGUAGAUGAAAGGUUUUUUUCUGUUAAACCUUAUAAAAUAAAGGAUUAUGAUGAGCAAUAUUUACACAGAAUUAAUUUGGAUUUUUCCCUGAAGUAGGCUUGUUGUCACAUAACAUUUAAAUUUUAUAUCUGUAAAGAGUCUUACAAAAUAUGCAUUGGCCAAGAUCUCAUAUGAUCCUUUAGCUCACAAAAGGGACCUAAGUAUCAAGGCUCAGUGGUUUUUCUCUUAUUUACGCAGCUAAAACUGGAGAUGGUAUGCUAUCAGUACAUUGUUUUCUAUAGUGCCUGGAUUUCCCAUGUGAAAACAUCUAAGUAAACCUGGUCUUCACUAAUAUUACACAUAUUGUCAGCUGAUGGAUGUUUUUGAAAGAAAAGCAAAUUAUUCACUAAUUAUUCUUUAAAUCUCUAGGACCUUGAGCGUUUUUGGAUGGAUGAGUACCUAAACAUCAACUUGAAACUCCAAGAAGACCAUAUGGGAAUAAUGCCUAAAUUGUUUAUUCAAUGCUUUAAACACAGUUAUUUUUGUCAUCUUUAAUGUAUCUACUUUGUUUAAUAGCAGCAUUUAGUCAUUGUUCUUCACUGGCUAAGGCAUAUAAUGUGCUGUCUCGUGUAACCAAGUGUCAUUAGAAGCAAAAUCUUCAAUAUCUAAUUUACUAAAUCUAAUUUUGCAGUUUUCAAUCUGAAAUGCAAAUUUAUAAAUUUAUAAACAUUUCACUUGGUGAAAUUUCAUAGAAAGGUUUUAAAAUCAAAUCUUUUUUUUUCCUUUGCUAAGUAGGAUGAAACUGAUUGUUCUGUGUCUUGUGGAGUUUGAGCUCCUAAACAAAAAUUCAGUGAGAGGAUUCUAGAACUCUUUGGUAUAUAAGAAAGGUACUUGCUUCAUGGGAAAUUUUCCUCAGACUCAGCCCUUGUGGAUUAUCCUUUAAAAUGCUUUCAUCACUUUUGCCUUGCUGCCUUCGAUUGCAAUGAGCCUAACCCUUGAAUGUUGCUGAAUUUAUAGCUCUGUAAAACAAACUCUUCUGGCAUUUCCUACACACAAUUGGGUUUCUUAGCUGCUCAAAAGAUUUGAGCUACAGUAGUUUGUUUCAUUAUUAAAGACAUAUGAUGCCUGUUGAACAGAUUUCCCCUUGGGCAACAGAGCUGAUAAAAGAAUAAAGAAUUUCAAGAAUCUGUAUCUCAAAAAUAAAUCCCAAGGUAUCUUUUACUUUUUUUUGACUUGGGGGGAAGCUUACAAAAUAAUUUCCAUUUUUAUUUAGCUUUGUACUUAUUAUGGAGCUGUGGGAGAACACAGCAUUUACCAGAUGAAAUUGUGCCAUUUGAAAUAAACAUGUGUUAUUUUAACUUUUGGCCUACAUUUGAUGACAAUAAUGAGACCUUCCUAAAAAUGAGAACCUGAAGUCAGCCCUAAUCGGAACCAUGAUUGCAGUUAGUAUAAUUCCAAAGGAAGCGAAUGUGGCUACUCUUCAAUGUUUCAUACUCCUUCCUUGAACAUAGUCUUUACAUUAGGUAAUAUUUUGUGUGUGUGUGGUCACUUGUUUUAAUGGUCACAUCUUACAUUCACCAUAAUGCUUUAAUGUCAGUCCUGUGGUUCUGUGAUCUUAGUGUCAUAGUAUUAAAUCUAUCAGACUGCUCAGCCCUUUGCAAGCAACUGAGAGACAAAGACUGCAAACUACAAUGAAGUACUGCAUAUUUGUUUGCCCAAGGAAAAAGCCAAUCCUAAUUUAGAUGUGCUUCUAUUUACUAGGCUACUUGGCUUUCCAUGGGCACAUUAAAUGACCAAGAGACUCCAUUUGUUAUUGAAAAGGACAGGAGCUGAAAUGAAAAGGGUUAAUUUGCAAAGGUAGGACAUCUGUUAGAAAUCAGCCCAGAAGCAGGAGCUGGCUGUAUUCCAAGAGUGGUUUUUCAUCUGCCAUGGAGUUGGCCAUUGACAGUUAAACUUGGAUCUAAACUUCACAAGGCAGAAAAACACAUUCUUGAAUUUAACAUUUAGUUCUUUUAGCUAUCCAAGCUGAAGGUGCUAGAGCUAUACAAAAAAAAUGCAGUAGCUAUACAGAGAAGUUGCUGUAGCUAUAGCUUUACAGACAAAUUGUGAAGCAAUACAGAAUUUCACUUGAGAUGAAGUCCCCAAACUUUCCUAAAUCUGUUUGUAUCCCAGCCAUUAGCCUAGGCUUCCAUUAAGGGCCUUACAUAAAUGUAUGUUCAGUAGAUAGUUGUUAAAUGUAAAAACUCGAAAUUAUUUUCUUUAUUAAUUUUAUUGGUACAUUUUAGGUAUACAAUAUAAUGACAUUCAUCAUUGGAAAUUUGCAUAUUUACAUAAGCUCUCUUGGUUCUUAUUUUUUCCUCAUUCUUCUGCCCUCCCUUCAACCCCUCCAUCCCUGCCUAUUUACAAAGACUUUGUUUCCAUUUUUGCAUUUUCUCAUAUUAAUUCCUUUGCCCUCCCCCUCCCACUUCCCUUUCCCCUUUGCCCCUUUUCUUCCUAUUUCACAUUAUCUAUUAUACCUUUUAGUCUUUAUUUACACUUUCAGUUUCUCACUCUCGAGAAACUAUUCGGUAUUUACACAUGUGUGUCCUAUUUAUUUCACUUACAAGUAUCACUUCAAUGUGCAUCCAUUUAGCUAUAAAUGUCUCUGAUUUCUCAUUUUUAUGGCUGAGUAGUACUCCAUUUUAUUAAAAAAAAAAAACACAUUUCCUUUGUCCAGUCUCCAGUUGAUGGGCACUUGGGUUGCUUCCAAGCUUUAGCUAUUACAAACUCUGCUGUGAUAAACAUAGGUGCACAUAUAUCACUUUGGUAUGAUUCUUUUAAUUUUGGGGGGAAGAUGCCCAGCAGGGGGAUAGCUGGGUCAAAUGGGACCUCCAGUCCUGGUUCUCCAUACUUGAGGUAUCUCCAUACUGAUUUCCACAGUGAUUACACCAGUCUACACUCCCACCAGCAGUGGAGAAAUUUCUGUACAAUUCUGUCAUGUAAAUGGCUAUGAAAAAGUAUAUUUCUUUAACUUAAUUUUGUCCACAAGUUUUCCUUUGGAUUGUUUCAGUUUUACAAAUCUCUGUUUGGGAAACUACUAAAAUAAUAAAAUCAUGGAAUUUUAAUGGCUUUUGAAAGAGUCUUGUGUUUCCUUCCCUGGUUGAGAUAGGGUCCUAUACUUGUCCUUGAACCACUCAUGAUAAAUCUCUUUGACUCCAUAUAUUCUGCUUCCCAUCCCUAACAGUGAGAACGCUGAAAGCAAAACUUACCAAAAUUGUUUUAAAGAGAAAAAACAGAAUUUUGGUUUCCAGAAUAAAAAUGCAUGCUAAAUGGACAAAAAAGGAUGAUUACUACAGUUUAAGGAUAUGCAGGAAUUAAAUAGCCAUACUAUGGUGUUUAUUUUAAUGGAAAUCUUAUUCUACAAUUAUUUUCUAUUAUUCUUUACCUUCUUCUCUAAAGCAUGAAGAUACCAGAUUUCUUCUUGCAAUGUAAUUCAAAGGGUUGCUUAUGUAAAAUGAAUCUAGAGAGUUUAUCUGAGAACACCGAACCCAAAUCUUGUUUGUCUUGUCAAAACCUCUGACACAUGUGCUAGGAUAUGAUACAAUGUGUAUGUUUUGACUUUUCAAUAUUGUUUCUUAGCCCCUAAUGAUAGUCGAAUGAAUGCAUCACCAGGCUGUAAUCAGUUCUAGGCUAGGUUUUAACAGUUUAUGAUGUAGUUUCUCUGAAGGAAUUGUUAGAUCAAAUAAUUGGCAUUCUGAUCUCUCAAGAAUGUUUCAUUUUUAUAGUGAUUAAAAAAGCCCAUUUAGCUGAUUUGUAAGCCUUGCAAGAACUUGCUUAUUAGAAACUCAUCAGAGUUCUAUGCAGAAGGGCCAUUUUAUAUGGGUAAAGGGUAAGAAGAGUUUAAAUCUUUUUGAAGUUAUUUUUUAGUCUUAGAUGCAAAUCACCCAAUGUCUACAUGUAAAUUAUCUCUGACAUCACCUCGAGGUUAAACAAGCUUGUUUUUAUUUCACAUCUUGACCUCUGAACAAAAAGACUUUAAAACACAUCACUGCCCUCUUGCUAAUCUAAGACUUAUCUUCUAAUACCAUUGCUUUGUAAAAUCAUACUGGAAAAUAAAUCAUUAUGCACUUCAAUAAGCAACUUUCCUUAGUUUAAGAACUCUCCUUCUGAAUUCUAGAGUCAGGGCCUGAGAGUCACGGAAAACAGUUGGACACCAAUUUCCAGAGUACAUUAAACAAUUCAUUUACUUUCCUAGCAUUGAGCUCAGAGACUAGAAAAUUCAAUUAUCCUAUCCUCACUUGUACUGACUUACUCAGAGCCCCUUCCAGCUCCAGAAUACACCAUAAGAAAAUAAAACUUUCUAGAGCACUCACAUCUCUCACCUUCAUUAGUAUCUCUUUUGUCAAAUUCUCCCUGGCUUGCUUGUCCUCAUCCUUUUCUUGAAGACUUUUUGGUCUCUUUCUCAGUAACCAGUUCUAUUGCAAAGGAUACCUUACCUCCUUUGUUAUAGAAAAUAUCCUUUUCUACUUUCUAUCUCUUCUUUUACUUUAUUAAGUAUAUAUCUAAAUAUUAGAAAUGAUUGGAAGAUGUUUUUGCCUG
Molecule: long non-coding RNA, 16521 nt
Filed under: Heterocephalus glaber (naked mole-rat)
Lineage: Eukaryota; Metazoa; Chordata; Mammalia; Rodentia; Bathyergidae
Description: lncRNA (ENSHGLG00100034073.1)
Source: RNAcentral